UGCAUCUCAGGCCUUUCUGCGGCCUCUGCCUCCUCCCCCGCCCUCUUCCCCUCCAUCCUCUUCCUCCUUUUCCUAAUCUCCCACUCUCUCCCCCCUGGCCUGGAAGGGCUGGCAAAGGGAGCCCUCUUACCACUCCACUGCCGGGAUCUUGUGCAGUGGGUGCCUGAGAAGGCGACUGGCUCUCUCGGAGACACCUUUUCCUGCCAGCCUUUGCCUCAUCUGCCCUGGGUCAAGAGAAACAGCAUCCCGCCAUCUCCAUCCCCACUAGCCCGCCAGGCUCUGCCUGGCGCAGGUACAGCCUCCAGAACACCAGCUCUCAGGCCUCCCACACUCAGUGCCCAGUCUUUAAUCCAUCUGGAAUUCAUAUUUAUGGAUGGCGUGAAGAUUUUUCAUAGGAAAAGCCAAUUGUCACAACACGUUUUAUUGAAGCCUAUUUUCUCUCACUGAGUUGCAGUGCUGCCACUAUCAUAAAUCACAUUCCCACAUAUACUUGGAUCCGUUUCUGGGCACUCUAUUCUAUUGAUCCCUUUGUCUAGCCCGACACCAAUACCACAUUGUUUUAAUUAUUAUUGCUUUCAAAAAAGUCUUGGUAUUUGUUAGGGCCAGGUCUGUUUCCUUAUUCUUUUUCAGAAUUGUCUACUUUUUUCUUGGGUCUUUGCUCUUCUCUAUGAAUUUUAGAAUCAGUUUGCCUAGCUCUGUGAAAAAUCCUGUUGGGGUAUUUAUUGGACCUGCAAUCAAUCAACAGAUUAAUGUGGAGAAAACCGGCUUCAUAACAUUGAGGCGUCUCAUCCCUAACCUAAUACUUCUCUAUGGCUCUCCAUUUAUUACUAUUGUAGCCUAUGUUUUACUUCAUAAAUAUCUUGCGAUGUAUUUUAUAAUUUUU
Molecule: long non-coding RNA, 883 nt
Organism: Rhinopithecus roxellana (golden snub-nosed monkey)
Lineage: Eukaryota; Metazoa; Chordata; Mammalia; Primates; Cercopithecidae
Exons: 3
Source: RefSeq, a predicted model, not a curated record